CAAGAUCACACACCAUAUUCGCAGGAAUGUGUUUUCACAGCUAACUCAGAAACAGCUUGGCUUGUGGUAACAAGCUCACUGCUUGAUUGCAUCACAUCCGAGGGAGAGAACGAGAGGGUGUGUGUUUUUUUCUUAGGAAGGUGAAUCAGGUCUGAAAGAGGAAGCAGGAUGUCAUGAAGGCGUCACUAUGCACUGAGUCUGGCUCACUGUCUAGUGCUUCCAUCGAGGAUGAAUCCUACACUAUUCCUGCUUCUGGUAUUGACAGCUAGCUGGACUGGACCUGUUCAAUGUGAAGACAAUGAAGAGACAGAGACUGAAGGCUUGUUAGAUGUCAAAGCAGAGGGUGAAGAAGAAAACCCAGAUAAUCAUGGGGACGGCUCUGGAGAUGGCAGGCGCUCGAGUUUCUUGGAUGUAGUCUCCACACCAAGCAGUGACUCAGUUAAUAAUCAGGAAUCAGAGCCGACUACAGAGAAAGAGAAAGAGACAAAUACAGACGCAGACGCAGAGCCAAAGACAGUGACAGACGCAGACAUUGAGGAUCUCAACCCAGUAAUCAUGAUCAUCAUUCCUCUGGUUCUCACACUCGUCAUCAUCACUGUGAUCGUGUGUGUAGUCAUCAUCUACCGCAGGAGGAGAAUAAGAGCUGAAACUAAAGAAGAUCCUUAUCUGGAUCAUGAAGACCACGAAAAAGUGCCAAUGCCCAUGUUUGAUGAUGACAUCCCAUCAGUAAUGGAGCUGGAAAUGGAAGAUCUAGAAAACUGGAUGGCCAAAGAUGGAGGCAAGAAAGUGGACACUGGCCAAAUAUAAUGAAUAGAAUUUAAAUAACCAGGAAGAAGGAGCAAAAAGACACUACAUUUGCUUUUGUAGUUUUUGCACAUCCCAACAUCAAUGACAUUCUGCUUCCAGUAGAAAUAGUUAUUAGUCUAAAAAAAACUAUUAUCUAGACCUUACAGUCCACUUAAGUAAUAAUAGUGUCUCAGUCCAUAUUGAGACUGUUUAUGGAACGCAAUCAGUGUGAAUAAUAAUAAUAAUAAUAAUAAUAAUGUACCAUUCAAAGGUUUGAGGUUUGAGUCUCUUCUGCUCACAAAAGCUGCAUUCAUUUAAUAAAAAAUACAGAACAAAAUGUAAUAUCGUGAAAAAAUAUUCCACUUCCAAACAGCUGUUUUCUGUGUGAAUAUCUAUUAAAGUUUAAUUUAUUUCAGUGAUGUGCAGCUGUAUUUCCAGCAUCAUUCCUCCAGUCUUCAGUGUCACAUGAUCUUUUAAUAAACUGAUUUGCUGCUCAAGGAAUAUAUUUCUGAUUAUUGUAAUAAUAAAACACAUAAAUAACAUGGCACACUCUUGUCAAGUGCCUAGAUUGUCAAAUAGACGUGAAGUGGACCUCUGACAGAUUAAUAAACAGCAGUAUUGUCUGUUGACCUGCACAUCAUCAUCAGCACGGCUCUUACACAAACACCGACCACAUGCACUUGCUUACUAACACAGACACAAACACAGACUGUGUCAUUCUGUCGAGGCUGUGUCUGCUGACUUCUGACCCGCCGGGACAUCUGGUGUUGAUUACAGCAGGCGUGUGUGGACGAGGAGGGACUCUUGUGUGCUCUCCGUCUCGCUCUCGCUGGGAACAGAGUCCAUGAGCCAGGAAUGCAAACUUACGUCACGCAGACCGUGUUUUUCCCAGGAUCGAGCGCUUUAGGGGAGCAGCAGGCUACACAAAGGCUAGGUGAUGUCAGGAAUGACAAAUGAAGGUUUAUGUAAACAUAAACGGAGAGUAUCUGAAGCCACAUCAGCACGGGAGUAAGAGCAUGACUUAAACCAAUCUGGAAAUGGAUUCUUUGCAGUUGUUGUUGGAAUAUAACAGCACUGGUGAAGACUGAUAUAAUAUACAAACACACAAAGGUUUAUAGAUUACUCCACAAAUGUCUACAGUAAACUCUAAAAAUAAUUCUAAACAGCACAAUGAAAAAUAACCACGCUCUCUUAAUAAAAUGAUCGUUUGAGUUGGACAUUACAGAAUAAAUUCCUUAAAAUCCAACAGGUAAUUUUGUCAAAAAUGUACAUGCAUACAUAAAUAAAUAAGGUAUCUGACAUUACUAUACACCAGAUUUUUGUUCAAUUUCAAUACAAAUAUUUAUUAUACAAGAACUACAGCUAUUACAUCGAUAUUCUUCGUCUUUAACAACAAUUUUAGAGAUCGACUACAUUCACCAAACAGUUUAAAUUAAUUUAAUAAAUAUUAUGAAAUAUUAUGAAAGCAAAUUGUACUUAAUAUAAAAAGCAUUAAUCUGAGUUUCAGCAGAUUUCAAGUUUUAAGCAUGCUUUGCGUCAAAAUCUAAAAGGAGAAUAAAUAUUGAAAUGAAGUGUAAUUUAAAUGAAUCUGUGUUUCUCUCA
Carassius gibelio (silver crucian carp) is the source of this 2388-nucleotide RNA transcript. It is a transcript of the gene named transmembrane protein 154, with no coding region annotated. NCBI's taxonomy places the organism in Eukaryota, Metazoa, Chordata, Actinopteri, Cypriniformes, Cyprinidae. The transcript is spliced from 10 exons. The record is from RefSeq and is a predicted model, not a curated record.